Pezoporus occidentalis (night parrot) is the source of this 6084-nucleotide long non-coding RNA. RefSeq lists it as uncharacterized. The record is from RefSeq and is a predicted model, not a curated record. The transcript has 2 exons. NCBI's taxonomy places the organism in Eukaryota, Metazoa, Chordata, Aves, Psittaciformes, Psittacidae.
CAACAACAAAAAAAAACAUACAAAAAACCCCACAACCCAACAAAAACAAAAAGCCACCCAAUCCAAAACCAACAUAAAAGAACUAUUGAAUUUGCCUAAAGAUCACUGUUUGAAAAUUGUGUAAUGUAAAUAUUGCAGAAUGUCUCAUACAGUGGCCCAUUGUUCAUCUCUUUUAGUGUGCUGUUCCUACAGUUUUUCUUCUGACUUCUCUGUGCUGCUCAUCUAAGACUUAGCAUGAUGUAUUCCAUUAAAACGAGGUAUUUAUUGAAUAAAAAUGUAACUGAAGGAAUAAUAAAAAUGUGGGAUUUGAACACAAUAUUUCACCAGAUUCAGAAAUUACUUUAGCCUUUUUCUCAUUUGUUAAAUUGUGACAAAGUACGCUAUUAGUGAUAUUAAAAUGCCUGAUUCAGAAAUGCUGUGUCAGCACCAAGUUAGUGGUAACUUUACUCUUAUCUUUUGCUAUAUAAAUUAAUGGUUGCCUUACCAUUUAUGUAAUACAUUUAGUCAGAGGGGUCUUACGAAAAUCAUUAUGUUGAAAGCUGUGUCUCUGGAAGUUCAGACAUGUCUCUGGAGGUUUAGACAAUUGUUGAAAGUAUAAAUGAAGGCUGUUGUGGAGUGUUACUUUUAGAUGCAUUUAAAACAAACAUGCUUACUGGGACAGGGGGUUUGAGAGCUAUAGAGCAAUCAGCUUACCAACCCAUGAGUUCAGUGUAUCUUUUAGUUGAAGAAAAAUUUUACAAAAUUAAUUAAAAAAAUUCUAUGUAAAGCUCUGAUAUUGAAGAUGCUGCAUAUGUGCUCCACAAAGCUUAAAAUGCAGACCUGGACAUGUUAGGAUCAGUGAAGGGCUGUAACAAUAUUAACUUCAUUAAACAUGAUUAAACUAAACAAAAAUGGUCUUGUUAAAUAAGUAAGGUAAUUUUAUGCUUUUUUUUUUUCAGGAUUUUAUGUUAAGGUUAGAACAAGGAAGAGUUACAGGAAGCUGUGCUUAUCUCACUAGUAAGUUAGCAUCACUUAAGUAAAAAUGGGCUUAAUGUGUGCUAUUAGUUGGUGGCUUCAGAAUUGGUCCUUGUAAGGAGUUUCUCGCUGGUUAGAUGUAGUUACAUCAAGCAGCAUAAGAAGGAUGUGCUGACUAGUACAGUAAUUUUUAGAUGGUAAAAAGUUACUUGAGCUGUCUCUAAAAUUUAUGUGAUACUGAAAAGUAUGUAAUUUCAAACUGGUUUGCAUAAGUUUGCAUAAUUUUUCUGUGUUACAUAUACUACCUUCAGAUUCUGCAUUAAGCAGUUUAUUGUAAGGAACAAAGACUAAUCCGUAACUUCUGUGGCUUUUUGAGGUUAGGGAGGGGAUCAGCAAAUGCAAGUAUAAUUAUUCCAUAAAUAGAUAUUUCAUUUCCUAAGCAUGUUCUUUACUAUCAUGUAGAUAUGGUAUUUGCAAAUUGUGAUAGUAUCAUAGCAUCCUGUCAUGCAGUAACGCAAAAAAGGAUGUUGAUUUUCACAUGAUCCAGAGCAAUCCAUGAAAUGAGUUGUGAAUGAGCCAAGGUUUAAUUAUUAAUGGCCAAGGAUUUUUCUGUCACUUCUUCAUGAAAAAGGUACAAGUGGUGCUUUUUCAAGUUUUGAAAAUUACCCUUUAUGAGCAGCUACUACUAAACAGUGAGGUUUAUCUAAGUUAUCAGACCAAAAGAGAGAUGAAAAACUUGGAAAUCUGUCAAAGUGUCAAAAGCAAGCAUAGUUAAAUUAGAGGGUGAAAAUGUGAAAUUUGUAGCCAUUACAAACAUACUGGUAUGCACUAUUUCACCAUCAAGGAUAUAUGAAUCGGGUUUUUUGAGUAUGUUUUGACUCUAAACUGAGUUAUGAUGUAUUUCCAAAGCUAAAGUUUAGUGAAUUUAAUUUUCUUAUACCUUAAAUGUAACUUAGUAACUCUCAACAGUCAUAUUAAAAAAUAAGCAAGAGAUUUCAUCACUUCAGUUGGGAAAUACUGAAAUACGGCAUCCCUAGGUCUGACCCAGGGCUUCUUGAAGAGCUCUGUUCUGUGGAGAUUUGGUCCUGGAGAUGUCUGUAGGAUAUUUUUACGUCAGGUUGUGCAAAAUCCGUUGGGCUAUGCCAGUCUCACUCCAGAAUGCUCAUUUCACAUACUUUUUGUGACUCUCUCGGUACUUGCCAGUGUUUCAGCACAGUGUGAGCACCAGAAGGUCAUAAAUACUUUGUUGUGACAGCUCUGUCCUAUCUGUCCAAGGAUCUUCUUGGUGUUUAGCCACAGCAGCAGCAUUUUGAUGGAGGCAAAUCCUUCCAAGGGCAAGAAAGGCCUCAGUCCUCACCCUGAGCCCUCCAUCACCUGCUGGUCCCCUCUUCCUGCCUUAGGUCCUCAUCUGUCAUUAACAUGUCUUAAAUAUUCAUUCCUCACUCUCUCUGGCAUGCUUGAAAGCUGAAUUUUCAAUUAAAUAUUAACUAGUGUUUAAAGGCCAAUCAUUAGUGAAAAAAAAAGCAUUGGAAUAUUUUGCCCUCUGCAUCUGUUUCUGGUGAGCUGAUUCUCUCACUAAGCCAAGUAGCAGUUGCCAGUGGUGGUCAGUGAUGCACAGAGCAUCUCCCAAGCACAUCCCCUAGUGUCUACCUGGCUGCCUGUGGCACAUGUGAACUCCUGCUCCACAACCCGUGCCUGGGUUUCAGGCCCCCCCUGGGCAGGGUUGCUAGGGUCUCCAGGGCACCCUAGGCUGAGCCUGAAACUGCUCUCGCUCUUUUGAAGAUGCAAAGUGCCCUCACAAUACCCAGCCUUUGAGACGGGAACACAGCUGAAAACCUGGUGAGCUGAAGCUGCUUUGUGAUUGCCAGUGCUUUUGUCAUGCACCGGGGCUGCCAAUACAACUGCAGUAUCCCUUGUCAAGUGCCUAGCUCAACCUGCCCCUCUGGGCCCAGAAGGCUGAAAUGCUGCCUGGGAAGGCACAGGAGAGUAGAGGACAAGGCUAACAGACCAUUCUGUAGCCCUGGAAAAUUCAAAACUUAAAACCAGGCAGGUUUCAAGAAUGGGGAGAGGACAAGGGAUGUCUGGAUGCUCCUGGGUUAUCCUGACAUUCUAAACUUGGGCACAGACAGCCUGUUCAGGCUGCCUGCCUAAGUGUAGGUGCUGCUGCCCCAGGCUCUGCCUCUUCCAAGGUCCCCAGCCCCAACCCACUGUGCUGUGAGCACCAGAACCCACCUGAGCACCCAGAGGUUUUCACCCUGGUAGAAUGACCUUACCAGCACCUGUAAGGCAUAGACAGGAACUGGAAAGCUCCGGCUCUCCAGUGCAAGCAGAGAUGUUAAGUGUCCUACAAAACAAAUUUAUCACUAGGGAAUAUGACUUUCUCACCUAUCUGUUUUUGCUUCCUGAGGUACAUCUUCUACUCCAGCUCAGUUAACUUCUGUUCAGCACUGCUUUACUGGUAAUUACCUCUGCAAAUGAUACCUCUUCCAAAGUGCCCUGCCACCGUAUCUGUUAAAAACCUGUCAGAGAAGCCUGGGUCUGGACUCUGGAAUGACAUUUGGUGCAGUAGCAAUGUUUGAACACAAUGGUAUUUCCUUCUGAGAAGAAAAAAAGGACCCUUCAACUUGUUUUCUCUCCCCCACUCCCUCCUCCUGGAGGAGAUAUUCGCCAAGAGCCACAGAUGGGAUCGUUUACAGUUUCCUUUUGAGCUGCCUUGGCCCUUUCAGGUUGUUUAUUCAAGCUGGGCUCUCAAACGGGAGGGUGGGACAAGGAAGGCCUCCUUCCAUAUUCCAAUUUGGAUUGGGGUUGCUGAAGUUCUCCAGCUGACAGAAGAUGAUUGAUGAGAACGAUGCUGGCCGUAAACGUGGGAGGGUUUGGAGACCAGGCAGCUCUGCUCUUUGCAAGGCCUUAAAUCCUGGUUGUUGGAGCAAUGCGGGGAAUGCCAUCCUGGUGUAAUUACAAACUGACAACAGGAAAAGCCACUGGAAAAGGCAGGCACUCCAGCGUUGUGGUGGGACAGCUGAAGAGGUGGCUGGGGAUUUUUUGGUGUGCUUUGCUUGUGGAAACAUGCACACUUGGUCCCAAGCUGAGGUCAAAAUAUGCUUACAGAAAGCAGGGUCUAGAGACGAUGGGGGGAUCUGCAGCAGAAAGCCUGGAAAGCUGCUGGAAGGGCUGAGGAUCACCUCAGAGGGGAGGUUGCAGAAUCUUUGGAUACUUCCCUGGUGGCAGUGGGCUUAAUACACACUUGUUAAGAGCACUGGAACCAGCUGGCAACAGUGCUGGUCCACCCUAAUGGCCACAGUUUUGCACAGUCUCCUCUCCUGAGAGCAGCUCUCAUUGCGCAAGUACCAGCCUCAGCUUCUCCAAAGCAAAGCUUGAUGGAAAGGCCUCCAGGAGAGCACAAGAUCCCCUUUUGACUCAUGGGCGAGGCAGCAAGGAUAGGAGGCACAGGGGACUACCAUCGCAUGUGAUUCGGAACGGUGGCCCUGCUCCAGGGCUCUUCAGGGCAUGGUUAUAGGGAAGCUAAACUUUAAUCUGGUUUCUCCUUCCCAGAGGAUGGCUGGCAUGAGCUGGCACCACUUUUCAUUGCUCCGGCUGAACAGGCCUGUCCUGGUGUUGGACUUGCUGAACUACAGGGUGUGUGGCCUGGGUUAGGUCACCAAGAGCUUUAUUCAAAGCUGUAAGCACCCUGAAGCCUCUAGACUGGAAAUUUAACAAAACCAGGACAGCUGGGCUAGAAGAAAGCAGCCGGAGGUAAAGCAAGGCCCUAAACUAGAUGUACUUAGAGUAGCUCCUCCAGUUAGGCUGGAUGACCCUGUGGGGCUGGGAUGAGAAGCAGGGGAUUUCCCCUCCCCUCCCUGUGCCUGUGCUGCUGGUUUAAAUCCAACCACAGCUGAGCAGUAAAUAGUAGUUACCAUCCAGCAGCUGUGGGGUGACCUGUGUGCAGUGAGUCAGUGAGCUCUGGCCACACAGCCCUGCAGACAUCUGCCGCAGAGGAAGCCUGGGCUGGAAAGCAUAUUUUCUUUGGGAAUGUGCUCUCAUUUGGGUGAGCCCUGCAGUGCUCCCUGCACACAAGCGCUGCAGUGGCAUCCUGGGCUGCAGCACUCCAGCACCCCAGUGCUGCAGCUGCAUUCCAGGAUACAGUGAUGCUGCACACUAGUGCUGAAGACACAUCUCAAAAGGCAUCCCUCCUUCCGCACCAGCACUGCAGCAGCACCCCACGAUGCAGCUCUGCUACCCAGCACAACAGCAGGCAUCUGCAUGUUGUGGCUCAACAGUCAGGAUACGCAGGCCCAGCAGCAGAGCAGCAUCAGCGUGACCAUGUAACUAGAGUAGCUGUGAUUAAAGGGGAACCGUUGCCUUCUAACGCUGCUGAGCAAUCUGUAACCAGCUAAAUAGAAUCAUGGUGCUGCAGUUGGUCAGGCUGAGCCUGCAGCAGCUUGGGCACAUGCGUAUCUGCCUUAGUGACAUGGGGUUACACACAAGGGAACAAGGUAAAUGUUUGAAUACAGGGAGGAUGCUAAAUAUCUGACAGCUCUCCAGUGUCUCACAGAGCUGACAAACAGAGAGGGUUUUGAGCAGACAUUUGAAGGGCAGAGCAGGUUUUUUACAAGGAACUUCCUCUCCUGGGCAGAUGGGACAAAAGGGGAUAAAGCCAAGCAAAACCACACGGCUGCUUAUUUAUCACUUAUAUUCAGGCCAGCUGAGGCAUACACGCUUCCCACUGGGCAGGGGCUGCACAAACACGAGGAGACUCCAGUCCUGCCUCAGAGUUUCCAGCCUAACAAAAAAACCCCAAACUUGGAGGAGUAGCAGCUCUGAAAUCUCUCUGUAGAUCUCCAUCUGGUAAAAGAAGUGCAGACAGGGGCAUGUUCUCUCCACAUCAGCUGCACAGCGAGAGCGGCUUAGAUGAACUCUCCUGGCUGGUAAUAAAAUGAUUUUACAUAUGUAGGAAGCAGGAUGUGCAAAGCCCAGGAGUCUGAUCUUGUUUCUGAGAUCAAACAGAGUCUUAUUGUACAGGGGUGUGGAGCUGAUGUAACUGUCUAGUGUGCCGGACACAAUCGCCGUGGUUACGCAGCUGGACCGGAAUAAAGCAAGUCUGUAUCUCAACUCAUUAAUUUUUACAACCAA